Long non-coding RNA from Lemur catta (Ring-tailed lemur), 749 nucleotides. RefSeq lists it as uncharacterized. The record is from RefSeq and is a predicted model, not a curated record. The transcript has 2 exons. NCBI's taxonomy places the organism in Eukaryota, Metazoa, Chordata, Mammalia, Primates, Lemuridae.
GCGCCAUUGUCGUGUGGGUUCGGGCCCUCGACUGCGAGGACGCGGCGGGGUGGGGGUGGGGCGGCUUCGAGAUUUCUGGGGAGCGGCAGUCGGGAAACAGCGCCCCUCCCAGCUGAAGCCGGACACUUGGAGGGUCCUGGGUGGGUGAGGUCGACUGACACCAAAGAGUGGCGAAGAAAGGAGCUGGUCUUCACAAACCGCCCAAAGUCAAGGUGAGGGUCUCCCAACGACCCUUGAAGGAUCCUGGCGAGUUUUUCCUGGUUUACAUCCCACUGCAUGCCUCUCUCUUCUGGCUGGACGAUAGUUAAAUCCUCACGUAAAGGUGACAAGCAGCUGGGCCGUGAUGGAGUCGCUGACCCUUGUUACUAAGGGGAAAUGUAGCCAUGCUGUGUGAAAAAGGAUUUUUUGUUGUUGUUUGUUUUUAACUUAAGAACCUAACUCAUUUCACAAAAGAAUGAUCGGUACUUGCCCAAAGUAAACUUGAUAAAUAAUUAAACUGUCAGGGCAUAGAGUUCCCAUAGAAGUACUUGUUCUUUUAGUACUCAAAUAAAGGGAUGCAAAAGUCAACAAGCAGAAAGGGUGAGUUAAUAUUGUCUUCUAAUCUACAGGAACUGAAAGAUUAGCUCUGGUUUGGUUGGUGACCAAAUUUUGUGAUUGCUUGCACAGAACUGCUCUGUUUGACUACCUCUGGCAAAUGUUGCAAGACCUCUUCUCAGUUGUGUGCCAAAUAAAGCAGGUUUUUUAUUCUC